Manis javanica (Malayan pangolin) is the source of this 4638-nucleotide long non-coding RNA. RefSeq lists it as uncharacterized. NCBI's taxonomy places the organism in Eukaryota, Metazoa, Chordata, Mammalia, Pholidota, Manidae. The record is from RefSeq and is a predicted model, not a curated record.
UGGAAAUCUUUUGAAUAAGUGUUUCUGGAAGGUUGUGCUGUGAAUCUGCUAUGGGCCUCCAGGAUGGGAUUUGGGCUGGGAAACAGCUGUCCAUUUCAAAUUCAGAGGCACGGGGUGAACACAGGACUGGGAGCAGCAAAAGUGCCCCAUGGUACCAUGUCCUGCAGCAGACAUCUACUGUCACAGAUGUCAUCACGUGUGUUUCUCACAACAGAUGACUGAGGGGAUUGGGACCUUAAUUCCUUUUUCUUUCCUUUGGUGUUCCUUUAAAAUACAACUAACCCUUGAACAAUACAGGUGUUAGGACUGUCAAUUCCCCUGGCCCCAUACAGUCGAAAAUGCACAUGUAACUUUUGAGACCCCCCAAACUUAAUUACUAAUAGCUUACUGCUGACCUGAAGCCUUACUGAUAACAUAAAAGUCAAUUAACAUGUAUUUUGUAUGUUUUAUAUUCUAUACUGUAAUUCUUCCAUUAAGUAAGCUAGAGAAAUUUUUUUUGAAUUGUGGCAAAUAUUCUAAAUGUUUUACAAUAUAUGUACUAAAAACAAACGUGUACAUAAGUGGACCCACACAGUUCAAACCUGUGUUGUUCAAACCAAGGGUUGACUGGAUAUUAUUUAUUUUCAUGUAAUUCUAAAUUUAAGAGGUUCCAAAAUCUCUGCAGUGGAAAGCCUGUCUUCCUCAUAUGUAACCACCCACAUUGCUUCCUCAGUGCAACCAGAGGUCACCUGUUCCCUGAGAAAGCUUCCAGAGAUACUUUAUAUAUACAAGCAAAUACCUGUAGUCUACCCCUCCUUUAUACACUUUAAAGCUUGCUUUACACACUCUUAUGUGCCUUGAAUUUUUUUCAUAAUAAUUUAUUUUGGAGGUUACUCAAUAUCAAUAUGUGUACAUUUACAUCAUUCUUAUUGUGGAUACAUAGUAUCAUAUAAAUUGUUCUAUUUUAACACGUCCAAUUUAAUUCUUUCCAACCCUUAACUUUGACAAAUAAUACUGUAAUAAAGGACCUGUGGGCAAUUAUAUCUGAAGGAAGCAUGCAAGCGUAUUUGAAGAUAAAUUCUGGAAGAGGAAUUGUUGGUCAAAGGCUAUCCAUUUGUAAAUUUGAUAGUUAUUGACAAAUUGCCUUCUAUAUAGGUAGCCCAUUUUUUUUAGAGAUGACAAAAUUGGAGUUUAAAGAGGGUAAGUGACUUGACUAAAGUCAUAUAAAGCAACUGGGAGGGAACCAAGGUUUUUGUUCUCAGUCCAAGACUCUCUGGGCCCAUGGGCCCAAAGAAAUCAGGGACAUAAAAGAAACAUCAGCUAGAUUCCUGAACUGUAAUAAAAUCCACAGUUUCACAUACUAAACAUUAAAUACUGUUGAUUCAACUUUGAGAAGUCAUAGAACCUGCCCUCAGGGAACCUACAGCCUAGGAGAGAGAGAGACAAGUAAAAAGCACUUUUGAUUCAGCAUAUGGGAUAAGGGAAAUAUAUAAGGAGACCCAGUGAGAACAUGGGAAGAGCCCCUGAUUUAGAUUUGGUUUCCUGAAACAGGAGGCAUUUAAGUUAACAUUAGAUUAUCUAAAAUUGUCCUCUGUAACCUGAAUUAUAACUACCCUCUUCUUCAACCCUCACAGUUUCCCAUCCCAAACCUUUUAUCAAAGUUAUUGCUAAGUAGCAAAAUGGAUUGCUUUGUGAAAGCAUGGUCUAGUUGGAAUAACAAUAAAGGCUAAUGCACACUGAGUUCCCGCUGUGUGUCAGGCUGCUUUCUGGCUCAGCCAUGAACCAGCCAUGUGACCCGGAGCAGGUAACAUCUCCCAUGUGUGCGUUAGUGCUCAAAUCUUUUAAGUAAAACAGUUAAUCCGAUGACCCCAUCAGUCUCACAUGCUAUGGCUCUGUCUCUAAAAUCGUUGAGGCCUCUGCUGGUGGAUGAUGGACAAGUGUGCCGGAACAAUGGAUUCGGGAAAAGGAGCAGAAGGACUGGAGAGUCCUCAAGCUGGCAAAUCAGCCUUGGGAAAUUUGAUUUUGAGAGGAGAUGUCACACAUAUCAGAUAAAUAAUAAUACUGACAUCUUUCUGUUAAAUUUUUCCAAGGUCAUUUCAUAUGCUACUUCAUGAGGCUGGGCUGGUAGGCUACACAGCUCAGGCCCCACAGCAGGGCAGUGGUACAGCUUGGGCUGGGACCCAGUCUUCUUUCCUGAAACCUGACUAAUUCUAUUCUCUGAUUCCAUAUGGGAAGGAAAAUUCUGGUAGGGAGCAAUCCAGAGUCCCCAAGGCCCCCAGAAGCCUGAACUUAAAUAAACUUUGAGGUGCUGCCUCUCCUCCUUCACUACCAUCAGAGGGCACACUAACUCUCUCUGGGUGCUGGAACCAGAACUGUAUUUCCGCAGGAUUAGUCUAACAAGUGCUUUGGGUGACUUGGUACCCAUCUGUCUGGCUGCUCGUCCUUCGACUCAGCUGUGGCAGACUUCUGCCCAGUUCUAGCACCAGCCUUCAUGCUCUUGAUAACCUGCCCACCCCGACUCCUCUGAGCCCAGGCCCUGCCCUGCCUUUCUCCAUGGGUCCUUCGUCUCUGGGAGUCCAGCUUGAGGCCAAGAUCCCAGGACAUCCCCAGGACAUAACCUGUUUCUAGGUCCCCUCUUCUGGGCUUUGUUCAAUGACUUUGUUUGCUCAACCUCCCUAACACUGACCACCUGUUAGGAAGACUGUCUAGCUCUGAGAUCUUUUUCAAAUAAUUUUGUGCCUGCUGGGCUGCCCACCUCCCAUAGCCUACAGCUAGAUUUACCCCUAAGCUGCUCACUCACAAUGCUAUGCCCCACAUCCAGGCCCAGUCUGGGUGAUCUAGUGAUGUGGAUGUGAUGUGUGCAAUCUUUGAAUUCUGUUUUGACAGCCUCCCACCCCACCCCCCAAUCAGAGCUGGAAGCUGAUGAAGUGGGUAACCUGGGGGUGACUUGCUAUCUGACCCUUUCUGGAGGUCUUUGGCCCAUCUGUGAAAGUGCCCCCUAGGUUCCCUUUCCUUGCAAGUUGAAUGAGAACACAGCUAUUUGGCCCCUUGAGGGAAGGCUCUGUCUGAAAACAGACGUGAUUACUAUUUCCAUCACCUUUAUAAUCCUUUAAUCACACACUUGCAGCAGGGAGUCUGGGCAGGGUGAGUCCAUUUAUAUAAACAGCAGGAAAAAUGAGGUUCUGUGCUAUAUGCCAACCAUGCUUAGCAGAAAUGUAAGAAUCUCUGGCUUUUCAUGAGCAGAAAAAUGAAUAAUCCAGGUGUUUAUCCUGAAACAGCUCACUUUCAAACUGCUGGGGCCUGUGCUCACAUUGUGAAGGCUUGGAGAGGGACAUAUCAGCCCUAGAGGGCCCAAGGGGAUGCAGGCCUGAGCCCUCUGCUCUCUCAGUGGGUUGGACAGUAUGGAAAGACAGGCUCUCUGGGCAGCUGACUGCCCCUGAACAAGGCAUCUCGCAUACUUGUGGCCCUUGGGUCCUAGAAGUAUUAAUCUUGAAGUCUGUCCCUAUCAUGAAUGAGAUAAGAGGUCUCAUGGGGGUUCAAAAAACAUUGUUCAGAAUGGGUCCCUAGCAGAUAGGGUUGUGUGCGUGUGUGUGUGUGUGUGUGUGUGUGUGUGAGAGAGAGAGAGAGGGUGGGGGGAACGUCCCACCAGGGCUUCCAACCACUGGUCCAGAUGGCAGAGGCAAAGAGAGGCCUUGGUGAUGGUACAGUGAUCCUCUACUCAGAGAAGAGCCAAGACUUGGCUGAACAGUCAGGAUACAGCUCUGCGCCAUGUAUCUCUCAUCCUCCUCUGGGACCAAUGAGAUGGCAGAGACAUCUGAAGACGCCUCCCCUGAACUGCCGCUUCUCAUCGCCACGGGAUGUCUAGUGGGAAUCUCGAACUUCACUUGCCCCGAACUCCUGAUUUCUCCCUCUAAACCUGCUCCACCUACAGUCUUUCCCAUGUCAACUGAGUAUGGCCAGGCAGGGACUGUAUCCAUCUUCCCCUACAGCUGGGUCCUGGCGUGAAGCACAUGGCUUGGCACAUGUCACAUGCUCAGUGGCAGUAGACACUUGAGAGAUCAUGGGAUUUAAAAUGUGCAGUGGAAGGUUGAGACAUGGAGAAGCCUGCCCACCAUGUCACAGCAGCUGCUAGAAAAGUUAAAACUACAUCUGUGGUUCCACUGUGGCUGAUACUGUAUUUCUGCUGUACGUCCCUGCCUUGGAAGCUCCUGGGUCCCAGGGGACCAGGGCACCCUUUUGCCACCACCCCCAUCUCCAUGCUGAAUGUCGCUGUCACCUCCGCUGAACAGGAUCUCUGCUCCUCCUGUAGGUUCUGUGCCAUCUACCAGACAGAACCAUCAACCUCUGCAGCUCCUGCAGCCCUAAAGCAGGCGCUUCCACCCAGCAUGAGUCCUCGAGAUCUUCAAGCAGCCAGCGCCCCGGGGCAGGGUGGAGGAGCGGAGCGUCUCCUUCCCCUUUGUGCUUCUAUUGAGAGGCCCAGAGCAGAGAAAGCUGUUAGUGCUCCAGCAUCUCAGAGUGCACAGAGGCCUUUUCUUUUUUUAUUUACUGCCGUCUCUGCGGGAAAACAAUGGAGGUUGGCCAGGAUCAGACUUUUGCUUUGUUUUGUUUCCUAUAUAUUAUAUAUUUGCUUUUUAAAAAAACCCUUUCAAAUAAAUUUUA